This 207-nucleotide ribosomal RNA is filed under the name uncultured bacterium. RNAcentral describes it as "partial 16S ribosomal RNA". It matches the Rfam family "Bacterial small subunit ribosomal RNA", at positions 568 to 775 of the family's 1533-position model. The record is from RNAcentral.
CAUGUAGGCGGGCUUUUAAGUCCGACGUGAAAAUGCGGGGCUUAACCCCGUAUGGCGUUGGAUACUGGAAGUCUUGAGUGCAGGAGAGGAAAGGGGAAUUCCCAGUGUAGCGGUGAAAUGCGUAGAUAUUGGGAGGAACACCAGUGGCGAAGGCGCCUUUCUGGACUGUGUCUGACGCUGAGAUGCGAAAGCCAGGGUAGGCAAACG